Molecule: long non-coding RNA, 5188 nt
Filed under: Homo sapiens (human)
Lineage: Eukaryota; Metazoa; Chordata; Mammalia; Primates; Hominidae
Description: HSALNT0304625
Source: RNAcentral
GACAUUAUUGAAUAUAUAUUGGUAAAUUAGGGUGGCUAUGAAUAUUCACGAUUCUUCUGAAUGGACCAACCACAAUGACUGACAAUAGGCAAAGGAUAGAGGGGGUGGAAAUGAGGGAUCGAACAAGCAGGUGCCACGAGUCCUAUUCCGGCAGAUACGUCUGAUUCACUCUUACCAACUCUGCUCCCAAGAUGUUUCUCUAUCAGAGCAGUGGCAAAGCUGAUAGGUAGCAAGAGGGAGUCUCACCCACAGGUUAAAUAUUCCACUCUUCCCAGGCAAGUUAGAGCAGCUCAUCAUGUCUUUUGGCAAAUCAAUUUCAGAGCAUUUGUUCUUGGCAUCUGGCAAACCAGUAGGUCACAGUUUCAAAUCCAGGAUCUUAAUAACCACACCUGGGAGAGACUUUAGACGACCUCUGCACAGUCUCAUACAAAAUGAAGCUUCAGUCUCAGCUCAGUUCUUAAUAGAGAAAUGUCUGCAUCACUCAGCUGAUGCCAGCAGUUAACAGAAGGAAAAGCUACCAGGUUUCCCCUCCUUAUCUUGAUAUAUGGAGCUGGUGAGAAUGUGUCUGGUCAUACGGGUGGAAAGCUGCAGACAUCAAAAUCAUCAACGGAGCCCUUUCACAAGCAUAAAAUUCAAACUGCUUCGCCAGCAUCCGGGUUCUGAAGAGGAGGACUGGUCAGGUCAUCUGAAAGGUCUUCCUUCCAAAGAACGCAGGCUCCUCACAAACACCACCCAAAAACAAUGAGGUGGAGACAAUGUACUCAUUGUUUUAUGUUAAAUAUUGAAAUUACGUUCAAUAUUGAAAAUAUGAAAGAGAAAGGAUGUGUGCAAUUCAGCAUCUGAAUUUACAUCCCUUUAGAGCAAGAUCAUAUAAUAAAAUUAAAAAAAAAAACUUUCUUAAAACUUACGUUAACCUUCACACCAUAGAAGAAUAUGACUUACAAUACACAGGUUUUCUUCCCUCCUCUUCCACCAUACCAGGUAAAUGUUAUUUUCUUGUCCUUAUGAUUUUCUUAACAACAUUUUCUUUUUCUCUAGCUUUUAUUAUUGUAAGAUACAAUAUAUAGUGCAUAUAACACACAAAAUAUGUGUUGAUUGACUAUAUAUGUUACUAGCAAGGUUUCUGGCCAACAGCAGGCUAUUAGUAGCUAAGUUUUUGGGGAGUCAAAAGUUGUAGGUGGCUUUUUGGCUGAGGAGGGUUAGUGGCCCUAACCUUUUCAUUGUUCAAAGGUCAACUAGAUACAAUACAUAUGUGAAUAUGCAUAUAUGUGUAUAGGUAUAUAUGUGUAUAUGUAUACAUGUCUGUAUGUAUAUAUAUGUAUGUGUAUAUGUAUAUAAGAGUGUAUAUAUUUGUAACACAUGCACGCAAACAUGCACGUAUAAAUCUUAUUAGAAAUUAAUAAGAACUGUGAAAAGAAAGCAAGCAGCACAAGGGGUCAAGAGACUCAGGAGCUCUUCUGAGAUGGGGUGUGGCAGGGAAGCCCUUCUGAAAACUUGGCAUUUGAAUGGAAGCUUACAAAGGUCUUGAAGGAGAGCACCAAGCCAGGCUUCCCAUCAAGUGCAAAGUCCUGUAGCAGAACGAGGUGGGGGCAUCUGGAGAGCACCAGAAAGGCCCACGUGGCAGUGGCAAAGGGGCUGAAGGCUGAGUGGUGGGUGGGAGAUGAGGGCUGACCUGGGGUCAGGCUCCAGACCAGAGGGGCUCGUAGGCCAUAGUGAGUAGUAUGAGCUACUUUCCAAUUGUGGAGAGCUUUGAGUCUAAAAAAAUUUAAUCUGACUUUCAUUAAAAAAGAUUAUUCUGACUACUUAGUGGAAAACAUCUUGUAAAAUAAGUUAAAGGAAAUGAUUAAUAUCUGCUCCAUUAUUUCAGUCCUAGGUCCAAAUUAUUUUGCACAACCAUACUAACUCUUUUCCAGUUUCAAUACACCGACCGUAAUUUGUCAAUACAGUUACUGUUAUCAAAGUGCAAUUUCCACCUAGAAGAUAUAAGUAAAAACCACAUCACAACUAGAGGUUCCCAGUGGUGAGCUGCUGUCUCUCAAGGUGUACAAAGAGAUGAUUCACUGCUAGGGCAUUGUAGGAGUAGUAUCUACGUUCGGGGACACUAACCUUGGGUACCUCUGAGAUCCUGUCUUUUUUGAGAGUUGCUAAUUCUCUGGAUUUCUUUGCUUUCUAUUUUAAUAAUAUAGAUGGCACACGAUUCUAGGUUUAAGAUAAGACAUGGAGAGUUUAGUGGAUAUUGCGUUGGGCUCUCCACAUCUCGUUAGGACUCAAAACACUCCUUCCAUCAGCUGCUGGGCAUGGCGGUAGCAGAUCAGCUGCCAGCCUCUUCCAAAAAUGUCCCUGGCUGGAGAGAGCAGCCUAGCCCAAGGUCAUGCCUCUUCCUAAGGAAUUCUGUAUUAGCCUUUGGUUAGUGUAGGGGAAUAAAGACCUGACCCCCUUGCCUCAACUGGAGACCACAUUGAAGGGCUUUUAUCUUCAGAGCUCCCCAAGGUCAGCUGGACUCUGUUGAGUCCGGCUUCUCCCUCCCAGUCCUGCCUUGUUCCCAUCCCUUCCUCCAUGUGGGUCCCCAUAGGUAUCCUCACUCAGUCUCCUGCCCCAUAAGCUCAGGUUCUGUGUCUGCAGCCUGGGGAGCCCCAGUAGAACUAUUGUGUAAGAAAAUAGGCCGGUCGUGGUGGCUCGUUCCUGUAAUCCCAGCACUUUUGGAGGCCAAGGCGGGCGGAUCAAGAGGUCAGGAGAUCGAGACCAUCCUGGCUAACACGGUGAAACCCCCUCUCUACUAAAAAUACAAAAAAUUAGCCAGGCAUGGUGGCAUGUGCCUGUAGUCCCAGCUACUAGGGAGGCUGAGGCAGGAGAAUCGCUUCAACCUGGGAGGCGGAGGUUGCAGUAAGCUGAGAUUGUGCCACUGCACUCCAGCCUGGACGACACAGCAAGACUCUUUCUCAAAAAAAAAAAAAAAAAAAAAGAAAAAGAAAAAGAAAAUGCCUUUGAUGUCAUGUAUGCAAUGGGAGCCCAGGGCUCUUGUUAGAGUCUUGAAGGUGCCUUCGUCACGUUUGGCUUGCGGGGGCUAACAGCCAGCGAGUUGUGUCACACUGUGUUCAGAGAAAGGGGCUGCUCUGGGAAUUUCCAACCAUGCUCCAUGGAGGGAUCAGCGUGUGCACAGUGCUGGGCACACUUCGGUAGCUCAGUAAACAUGUACUAAAAAUUAAAAAUAUAAACUGCAAACCUUUACCCUGUGCUUGGAUUUGGAAGAUCCUGUAGACCAUUCUGAGCCACAGAGCACACGUGGGUGCUAGGGACAAGACCAACUCUGGAGGUGAGGGAUGACCUCCGCAGAUUCUUGGUCAGAGGGCUAUGUGAGAAAGAGAUAAAACAGGCCUAUAGUCCUGCCACAUGCUCUGCAGACUGCAAAGGAAAACUGGGCUAUCCAGCAAGGUUGACCGAGAAAACAGAGCAGCACUGUUAGAGAAAUUCAGAAAUCAUUUAAAAGACAGAAAAGUUUACUCUCUCAAAUAUCGUGAGCAAAUGCUGCAAAGUAUAACUUCACCUCCCCCCAAUUUUAUAUCUUCCUCUGAUAUUUUAUCAUAAUACUUUUAUGGCUUCUUCUGAAGUGUUUUGAUAUGAUAAUUUUUUUGCAGGUACCUUUCAUAUGCAUCAGCUUAUUGGCAUCAACAAGUUAGAUAAUAAAUUUAGCUACAAUACAGAACUACAAUAAACAUAAUAUGUACGGUAUAAAGGUCACUGGAACCAAGUUGACAUUUUGUUGUAUUUCAGCAUAAAAAUACAGGGCAACUUUUGUGAACAUUAUUAAUAAUUUGAAUUCUGUACAACCAAAGACAUCCAAACAUAUUGUCUUAAAAGAAUAAAUGCUCAGUCAAUGCACAAUAAGUUUCUGAUUAAAGUUCAUUACCUUUUUGAGUCCACCUCGCUGGAUUUUGUGAAAAUAGAUCCUUCACACACAACAAAGAAGGAACUUUCUGGAAGGCUGUACUCUGGAACUGCAGACUUCUCUCUCAAGUCAAGUACAUUUCUGUUUUUCUUAAAGCUGCAAAACUACAACAAUGUUUAUAUUCAUAUGAAGUAUUUCAGCAAUUCAUAGCCAAUUUAUCAAUGACCACGCAGCUGCAGGCACUGCAGUUUAAAAAAAUAUACCAGCUCACUUAGUGUUUACAUAGGCUCUGAAAGCCCCACGUCCUGGCAGGGGGACGGGAGCCACCGGAGUCAUUAGAAAGACUUUGCAACCUGCAAGGAUACAUAGAUCAUGCUUGUUUGUUUUGAAACCCCAGAAAAAAAUGAUAAUGGGAGCUCAUCACCAGUGAAUUAGCCUUUGAAUGCAUGCUGCCUCUCUGAACAACUGUGAGAAUUCAAAAGUAUAUCCAUUGGAUCAACUGACAAUUUUGGGGGCCUCCUGUGGCAAAAUCAUCUUACUAGAUGACUUCAACAGAAAAGGGAUGUGGAAGAGAAACGAUCCCAAUUUUUUCAGUUAAGAUCCUUCCAGAAGAACCACAGCCGUUGUUGAUGAAUCUGGGUGUGGGUAGAGCUUGUCCGCUGGAGGUGACGCAGACACCAUCACUACAGUGUAAACACCAUUCAUGCAACUGCAGCCACCACCGGGGCCACUGGCCAGACCACCACUUCCCAGAGCCCAGAUACUGCAGCAGCUAUAAAUAGCUUUGUAGAAUUACAUUAGGUGAGACAGCCCAAUAUCCCAUUGCAUGAGCAAUGUGGAAUUUUGAAUAAAAAGUAGUUUAAAUGGCAUUUUGGUUUCAGUAGUGAAUUAAAAGCAAGAAACAAAUCACAGAAGAGGGACAAACAGAUGUUUCUCUGAUAGCUGGAUUCCUUAGAAAAUUGACUAUAAAUUCCAUGAAGAUAAUUAUUAGCACUGGAUUAUACAAUCAGCAUGAUUUGCCUGGUUAUCUACAAAAUCAUUAAAAAGUAUAAGAAGAAUCAAAUGUAUACUGUGUACCAAGCAGGAACUGCUGUUGGUCUUCGUUGAAAUCCUGUCUGCAAAUCUUUUUGUAUAACUUAAUUAGCAAAGUUAAAAUUAAGAUGAGGCUCCAGUGUGUUUAGAUACAACAAUUUCUAUGAGAGGACACUUCAUUAAAACAUUUAAUAACACAGCAAACUCUCAGUUAUCAAAGAAAUCUCUUUACAAAAACUGUUUUUGCCAAUGAAUAAAAUGAUUCAAUCU